This 514-nucleotide ribosomal RNA is filed under the name uncultured Glomus. RNAcentral's name for it is "SSU rRNA". It matches the Rfam family "Eukaryotic small subunit ribosomal RNA", at positions 569 to 1084 of the family's 1831-position model. The record is from RNAcentral. Lineage: Eukaryota; Fungi; Glomeromycota; Glomeromycetes; Glomerales; Glomeraceae.
AGCAGCCGCGGUAAUCCCAGCUCCAAUAGCGUAUAUUAAAGUUGUUGCAGUUAAAAAGCUCGUAGUUGAAUUUCGAGAUCAAAUUGUUGGUCGUGCCUCGGUACGUACUGGCAUUAUUGAUUUCUCCCUUCUGAAGAACCUUGAUGUCAUUAAUUUGGUGUCUUGGGGAAUCAGGACCGUUACUUUGAAAAAAUUAGAGUGUUUAAAGCAGGCUCACGCUUGAAUACAUUAGCAUGGAAUAAUGAAAUAGGACGUUUGAUUCUAUUUUGUUGGUUUCUAGGAUCGACGUAAUGAUUAAUAGGGAUAGUUGGGGGCAUUAGUAUUCAAUUGUCAGAGGUGAAAUUCUUGGAUUUAUUGAAGACUAACUACUGCGAAAGCAUUUGCCAAGGAUGUUUUCAUUAAUCAAGAACGAAAGUUAGGGGAUCGAAGACGAUCAGAUACCGUCGUAGUCUUAACCAUAAACUAUGCCGACUAGGGAUCGGAUGAUGUUAAUUUUUUAAUGUACUCAUUCGGC